This 480-nucleotide ribosomal RNA is filed under the name uncultured bacterium. RNAcentral describes it as "partial 16S ribosomal RNA". It matches the Rfam family "Bacterial small subunit ribosomal RNA", at positions 30 to 507 of the family's 1533-position model. The record is from RNAcentral.
AUUGAACGCUGGCGGCAGGCUUAACACAUGCAAGUCGAACGAUGACUCUCUAGCUUGCUAGGGAUGAUUAGUGGCGGACGGGUGAGUAACAUUUAGGAAUCUGCCUAGUAGUGGGGGAUAGCUCGGGGAAACUCGAAUUAAUACCGCAUACGACCUACGGGUGAAAGGGGGCGCAAGCUCUUGCUAUUAGAUGAGCCUAAAUCAGAUUAGCUAGUUGGUGGGGUAAAGGCCCACCAAGGCGACGAUCUGUAACUGGUCUGAGAGGAUGAUCAGUCACACCGGAACUGAGACACGGUCCGGACUCCUACGGGAGGCAGCAGUGGGGAAUAUUGGACAAUGGGGGCAACCCUGAUCCAGCCAUGCCGCGUGUGUGAAGAAGGCCUUGUGGUUGUAAAGCACUUUAAGCAGGGAGGAGAGGCUAAUGGUUAAUACCCAUUAGAUUAGACGUUACCUGCAGAAUAAGCACCGGCUAACUCUGUG